Camellia sinensis is the source of this 748-nucleotide non-coding RNA. The record is from RefSeq and is a predicted model, not a curated record. NCBI's taxonomy places the organism in Eukaryota, Viridiplantae, Streptophyta, Magnoliopsida, Ericales, Theaceae.
CCAAUCGGGUCUCCCCCCCGCCCUCCUCCCCAAAACCCCAACCUCUUCAACCAAAAUCCCCCCUGAAAAACCCAAAAUCUCCAAUCUUUCUUUCCGAUCCUGCAAUUUCUAGGGUUUUUGAUCGUAAUGCAGGUUUUGUAGCGCUUCAAUUUGCAGUUGAAUCGCUCAGAUUUGAGACUUCUUGUACCGCUAUUUGUGCGAAAUCGAGAGACUGAGUUAUGUCAGGCCCGUUGGAUCGGUUUGCGAGGCCUUGUUUUUGACAUGGGAAGAUGGAUGCUAUGAUCAUCUGAAACUGAGAGCAUCUAUGGAAAGCAUUCUGGAUAAUGUCUGCUUCGAUGGAUCCAAAGAGAUUUUUUCAUCUAAUUGGGGAUCAAGUAGACAUGAUGGACAUUCAGGUGAAUAUCCAAUUGGCCAAGUGGUGGCUGAUAUGGAAAGUGCUCAAUAUCCAUGGGGAGAAGGGUAAUGACGCUCAAGGAACAGCUUUCCGAGGCAGAGAAGGAGAUACAGAGGCUACUGGAGAGAUGUGAUGGUGUUUCAAGCAACAGUCCAGCUUCAUUGUUCUCCAUGGAAGCUAUGGAUCCACCUCCUUUUCUAGGGGAGUUUGGGAUGGAAGGGUUUGGGAAUAUUUUUUAUGUGCCAGAAAACAAUUACAAUCAUGGCAUGGAUUGGGUUAAUCUUAUAUGAUAUGUAAUUAAAGCAAUUCUAAUAUUAAUGUAGCUAGUGACUGUCUUAUGUACAUCUUCUUUUU